AUGCCCUACCGUAAAUAUUAACUCACAUCACCCACGCCUGGGUAUUACGAGCCUAGCUUAAAACCCAAAGGACUUGACGGUGUCCCACUAAACUAGAGGAGCCUGUUCUACAAUCGAUAAUCCCCGAUCCACCCGACCCCAUCUCGCCAAUUAGCCUGUAUACCUCCGUCGCACACUUACCAUGUGAAUGUACACAGUGGGUCCAAUGAUUCCUAGACUCAAUACAUCAGGUCAAGGUGCAGCUCAUGAUGGGGAAGCAAUGGGCUACAAUCUCUAAUAUAGAAAACACGAAAUGCCUUAUGAAACACGGCAUGAAGGUGGAUUUAGCAGUAAGAAGAAAAUAAAGUGUUCUUUUUAAAAUAACCCUGGGACAUGUACACACCGCCCGUCGCCCUCUUUAAUUGAGUAUAACAUGUUUGUAACAGCCUUUCUCACUUAAAAAGAGGUAAGUCGUAACAUGGUAAGCGUACCGGAAGGUGCGCUUGGAUCCGA
Molecule: ribosomal RNA, 492 nt
Filed under: Limnonectes palavanensis (Palawan wart frog)
Lineage: Eukaryota; Metazoa; Chordata; Amphibia; Anura; Dicroglossidae
Description: partial 12S small subunit ribosomal RNA
Rfam family: Bacterial small subunit ribosomal RNA
Source: RNAcentral